UACGAAGGGGGCUAGCGUUGCUCGGAAUCACUGGGCGUAAAGCGCACGUAGGCGGACUCUUAAGUCAGGGGUGAAAUCCUGGAGCUCAACUCCAGAACUGCCCUAGAUACUGGGAGCCUUGAGUUCGGGAGAGGUGAGUGGAACUGCGAGUGUAGAGGUGAAAUUCGUAGAUAUUCGCAAGAACACCAGUGGCGAAGGCGGCUCACUGGCCCGAUACUGACGCUGAGGUGCGAAAGCGUGGGGAGCAAACAGG
This 253-nucleotide ribosomal RNA is filed under the name uncultured bacterium. RNAcentral's name for it is "partial 16S ribosomal RNA". It matches the Rfam family "Bacterial small subunit ribosomal RNA", at positions 524 to 776 of the family's 1533-position model. The record is from RNAcentral.